CCUACGGGAGGCAGCAGUGAGGAAUAUUGGUCAAUGGACGAGAGCCUGAACCAGCCAAGCCGCGUGAGGGAUGACUGCCCUAUGGGUUGUAAACUUCUUUUGUCGGAGAAUAAAAUCUUCGACGUGUCCCAUACUGCGUGUAUCCUAUGAAUAAGCAUCGGCUAACUCCGUGCCCGCAGCCGCGGUAAUACGGAGGAUGCGAGCGUUAUCCGGAUUUAUUUGGUUUAAAGGGUGCGUAGGGGGUCUGUUACAGCAGUCGUGAAAGUUCGCGGCUCAACCGGAACAAGGCAGUUGAAACUGGCAGACUUGAGGUCGGGAGAGGUAGGAGGAAUUCGUGGUGUAGCGGUGAAAUGCUUAGAUAUCACGCAGAACUCCGAUUGCGAAGGCAGCGUACUGGAGC
Molecule: ribosomal RNA, 400 nt
Filed under: uncultured bacterium
Lineage: Bacteria
Description: partial 16S ribosomal RNA
Rfam family: Bacterial small subunit ribosomal RNA
Source: RNAcentral